GAUGAACGCUGGCGGCGUGCCUAAUACAUGCAAGUCGAGCGAACAGACGAGGAGCUUGCUCCUCUGACGUUAGCGGCGGACGGGUGAGUAACACGUGGAUAACCUACCUAUAAGACUGGGAUAACUUCGGGAAACCGGAGCUAAUACCGGAUAAUAUAUUGAACCGCAUGGUUCAAUAGUGAAAGACGGUUUUGCUGUCACUUAUAGAUGGAUCCGCGCCGCAUUAGCUAGUUGGUAAGGUAACGGCUUACCAAGGCAACGAUGCGUAGCCGACCUGAGAGGGUGACCGGCCACACUGGAACUGAGACACGGUCCAGACUCCUACGGGAGGCAGCAGUAGGGAAUCUUCCGCAAUGGGCGAAAGCCUGACGGAGCAACGCCGCGUGAGUGAUGAAGGUCUUCGGAUCGUAAAACUCUUUUAUUAGGGAAGAACAAAUGUGUAAGUAACUAUGCACGUCUUGACGGUACCUAAUCAGAAAGCCACGGCUAACUACGUG
RNAcentral lists this ribosomal RNA (497 nucleotides) under uncultured bacterium. RNAcentral describes it as "partial 16S ribosomal RNA". It matches the Rfam family "Bacterial small subunit ribosomal RNA", at positions 28 to 507 of the family's 1533-position model. The record is from RNAcentral.